GACGAACCGAGCGAACGUUAUUCGGAAUCACUGGGCUUAAAGGGCGCGUAGGCGGGCUCGCAAGUCAGGGGUGAAAGCCCCCAGCUCAACUGGGGAAGUGCCUCUGAUACUGCGGGCCUCGAGGGAGGUAGGGGCGUGCGGAACUUCCGGUGGAGCGGUGAAAUGCGUAGAUAUCGGAAGGAACGUCGGUGGCGAAAGCGGCGCGCUGGACCUCUUCUGACGCUGAGGCGCGAAAGCCAGGGGAGCAAACGGG
Molecule: ribosomal RNA, 253 nt
Filed under: uncultured bacterium
Lineage: Bacteria
Description: partial 16S ribosomal RNA
Rfam family: Bacterial small subunit ribosomal RNA
Source: RNAcentral